GGGCAUGGGGGCUGGGAGGUAAGAUGGCUAUUUCUUGGGUAGCUCUUAUUAGUUUCAUCAUCUCCUCCAUUGUUGAGCAGCGUGGAGCGCCCUGAAAAUUUUGAUAUAUUUGUGCUUCAUUAUUAAUGUGAUACUACACGUGGAAGCAAGCAAGUUCGUCCACACAAGCCCGCAAGUAGAUUUUUUUGUUUUCCCCGAAAAAAAAUCUAUUCGAGGGCUCAAGGACGAACUUCUUAGCAUGGAGAGGCUGUCUUUGGUACUCCAUCCAUUUAUGUAUCAUUUUGAUUUUUCUACAUUCAUAGAUUUUGCUACGUAUCUAGAUAUACAUUAUAUCAAAGUACGAAUCUAAAAAUAUCAAAGCGAUCUAUAUUUUGGACCGGAGGAAGCGUGAGGAGACAAGAACGCUUUAUAUGACUUACCUUGUAUGCACGGGGAGAGGCGUCCAAAGAGCAAGACUAGCAAGGUAGUCAUCACACACACUCUACCACCACCAUAGCUACUCCUCAUAUUGGAUAUUUUUACCUAUAGUUCUACGAACGUCUGAACUUUGUGAGAGUCAGAUUAGACCAUAUGAAAUGAGGCUUCGAACCUUGAUAUAUAUAGACACUACUCGGCAAAAGAUAG
RNAcentral lists this long non-coding RNA (624 nucleotides) under Panicum hallii. RNAcentral describes it as "long non-coding RNA (PHAL_LNC000013)". Lineage: Eukaryota; Viridiplantae; Streptophyta; Magnoliopsida; Poales; Poaceae. The record is from RNAcentral.